This 390-nucleotide ribosomal RNA is filed under the name uncultured bacterium. Its description in RNAcentral is "bacterial SSU rRNA". It matches the Rfam family "Bacterial small subunit ribosomal RNA", at positions 28 to 412 of the family's 1533-position model. The record is from RNAcentral.
GACGAACGCUGGCGGCGUGCCUAACACAUGCAAGUGGAGCGACGAACCGGGCUUCGGCCCGGGGCAAAGCCGCGAACGGGUGAGUAACACGUGGGUAACCUGCCCUGAUGAUUGGGACAACCCGGGGAAACUCGGGCUAAUACCGAAUGUGCCCUCCGGCCAUAAGGCCGCUGGGGAAAGGAAGCUUCGGCCUCCGCAUCGGGAUGGGCCCGCGGCCCAUUAGCUUGUUGGUGAGGUAAUGGCUCACCAAGGCAACGAUGGGUAGCUGGUCUGAGAGGACGAUCAGCCACACUGGGACUGAGACACGGCCCAGACUCCUACGGGAGGCAGCAGUGGGGAAUCUUGCGCAAUGCGCGAAAGCGUGACGCAGCAACGCCGCGUGGGGAAGAA